RNAcentral lists this unclassified non-coding RNA (434 nucleotides) under soil metagenome. RNAcentral's name for it is "partial contains 5.8S ribosomal RNA, internal transcribed spacer 2, and large subunit ribosomal RNA". The stretch from base 1 to 121 matches the Rfam family "5.8S ribosomal RNA", at positions 35 to 154 of the family's 154-position model. The record is from RNAcentral.
GAUGAAGAACGGUAGCGAAAUGCGAUACGUAAUGUGAAUUGCAGAAUUCAGUGAAUCAUCGAAUCUUUGAACGCAUAUUGCGCUCUCUGGUAUUCCGGAGAGCAUGCUUGUUUGAGUAUCAGUAAACACCUCAACUCCCUUUUCUUUUUUGAAAUGGGAGCUGGACUUGAGUGAUCCCAACACUUUUCUCACUGGAAAGUGGCGGGUCACUUGAAAUGCAGGUGCAGCUGGACUUUUCUCUGAGCUAUAAGCAUAUCUAUUUAGUCUGCCUAAAAAACAGAUUAUUACCUUUGCUACAGCUAACAUAAAGGAGAUGAGUUCUUGUGCUGACUGAUGCAGGAUUCACAGAGACAGCUUUGCGGCUGACUUUGUAAACUCGAUCUCAAAUCAAGUAAGACUACCCGCUGAACUUAAGCAUAUCAAUAAGCGGAGGA